UCAGAUUGGUUUUAUAUGAAUUUAUGACAAUGAUAGUUAAUCUGGGAACGACUCUGUUUAUACAUCUUGGAUAUUAAUCUUUUAAGAUUUUAGUAUUUAUGAUUUCUUCCAUAAAAUAAAAGUGAUUAUAACAAGUGGCUUAGUUUGAACUAAAAAUAGUUUUUCAUAAUCAACCGAUACAUCAAAUCAAGAUUUGAUCAUUUAUAUCAUAUGUGUGUGUAUAUAUACAUACAAAGUUCUUAAUGAACAUAUACAUCAUCAUUUGAACAAAAACAAAAAGAUGAGUAUUAAGAAGUGGAGUGUAUUGAUAAUGGUUGUAGCAAUAAUAACUGCAAUCAUGGAAGGGGAAGUACAAGGAUUAUCAUGUGAGACCAAGUGCAUGCUCAAGUGCGGUGGAAUCUGGUAUUUUGCAAGACCAUGCAUUAACAAAUGUGUAUUCGAUGAAUGCUACAUACCUAAGCCCCCAUCUCAAUCACCACAGUAAUAAGCUUUUUAUUUAUUAUAUUUGCUUGCUUUUUCGUCUGUGUUUGUAUUAAUGUUAAUUAAACUCUUAUGUUUGUAUCUAAAAGAUAUUUAUAUCAUCAUUUCUUAAAUUCAUCGUAAUCGCAAAACGCUAGUUUGAGUUAUGGCACAUAUCUUUUAAUAAAUAAAAAUGUAUGUUUUGAAAAAUAAAAACAAUGUUUCAACAACGAAAUACAUUUUUGUUUUUCAUUUAAAACAACCAUACUUUAUGAUACUUAUAUACAUGUCUUAUUGUCUUUUAUUGUCACGAGUAGAACUUAGACAUGACUUUAUUGGUAUAUUGCAGGACGGAGGCUAUAGAAAUGAAGAACAUUAGAAGGCAAAAACAUUAAUAUAUAAAUAUAUCUCAUAUACAUGUAAUAUAUAAUUAAAGUGAUCAUUUAAAUAAAAUUACUAAAUUUUGACAUAAAGGUAAAAGGGUUUAUAACUUUGUGACCAAACAAUUCAAUCAAAUAAAUAGAAUGGGGUACGUAAUAUGUAAGGG
RNAcentral lists this long non-coding RNA (1006 nucleotides) under Eutrema salsugineum. Its description in RNAcentral is "long non-coding RNA (ESAL_LNC000982)". The record is from RNAcentral. Lineage: Eukaryota; Viridiplantae; Streptophyta; Magnoliopsida; Brassicales; Brassicaceae.